AUAUAGGCUCUAUAACAACAGAAGAAAAA
RNAcentral lists this small RNA (29 nucleotides) under Arabidopsis thaliana (thale cress). RNAcentral's name for it is "ATSL164610". Lineage: Eukaryota; Viridiplantae; Streptophyta; Magnoliopsida; Brassicales; Brassicaceae. The record is from RNAcentral.